GGCCUACCAUGGUGGUAACGGGUAACGGGGUGUUAGGGCACGACACCGGAGAGGGAGCCUGAGAAACGGCUACCACAUCCAAGGAUGGCAGCAGGCGCGCAAAUUACCCAAUCCCGAUACGGGGAGGUAGUGACAAUAAAUAACAAUACGGGGUUCUUUAGGAUCUCGUAAUUGGAAUGAGUACAAUUUAAAUCUCUUAACGAGGAACAAUUGGAGGGCAAGUCUGGUGCCAGCAGCCGCGGUAAUUCCAGCUCCAAUAGCGUAUAUUAAAGUUGUUGCAGUUAAAAGGCUCGUAGUUGAAUUUCGGGGUUAGUAGGUUGGUCAUGCCUCUGGUAUGUACUGGUCUCACUGAUUCCUCCUUCCUGAUGAACCUUAAUGCCAUUAAUUUGGUGUUUUGGGAAAUUUGGACUGUUACUUUGAAAAAAUUAGAGUGUUUAAAGCAGGCUAACGCCUGAAUACAUUAGCAUGGAAUAAUGAAAUAGGACGUUCGAUCCUAUUUUGUUGGUUUCUAGGAUUGACGUAAUGAUUAAUAGGGAUAGUUGGGGGCAUUAGUAUUCAAUUGUCAGAGGUGAAAUUCUUGGAUUUAUUGAAGACUAACUACUGCGAAAGCAUUUGCCAAGGAUGUUUUCAUUAAUCAAGAACGAAAGUUAGGGGAUCGAAGACGAUCAGAUACCGUCGUAGUCUUAACCAUAAACUAUGCCGACUAGGGAUCGGAUGAUGUUAAUUUUUUAAUGACUCAUUCGGCGCCUUACG
This 753-nucleotide ribosomal RNA is filed under the name uncultured Glomus. RNAcentral's name for it is "SSU rRNA". It matches the Rfam family "Eukaryotic small subunit ribosomal RNA", at positions 338 to 1092 of the family's 1831-position model. Lineage: Eukaryota; Fungi; Glomeromycota; Glomeromycetes; Glomerales; Glomeraceae. The record is from RNAcentral.